RNAcentral lists this ribosomal RNA (226 nucleotides) under Klebsiella pneumoniae. RNAcentral describes it as "partial 16S ribosomal RNA". It matches the Rfam family "Bacterial small subunit ribosomal RNA", at positions 1318 to 1533 of the family's 1533-position model. Lineage: Bacteria; Pseudomonadati; Pseudomonadota; Gammaproteobacteria; Enterobacterales; Enterobacteriaceae. The record is from RNAcentral.
CCAUGAAGUCGGAAUCGCUAGUAAUCGUAGAUCAGAAUGCUACGGUGAAUACGUUCCCGGGCCUUGUACACACCGCCCGUCACACCAUGGGAGUGGGUUGCAAAAGAAGUAGGUAGCUUAACCUUCGGGAGGGCGCUUACCACUUUGUGAUUCAUGACUGGGGUGAAGUCGUAACAAGGUAACCGUAGGGGAACCUGCGGUUGGAUCACCUCCUUACCUUAAAGAA